GAUGAAGAAGUAGCGAAAUGCGAUACGUAAUGUGAAUUGCAGAAUUCAGUGAAUCAUCGAGUCUUUGAACGCACAUUGCGCCCUCUGGUAUUCCGGAGGGCAUGCCUGUCCGAGCGUCAUUGCUGCCCUCAAGCACGGCUUGUGUGUUGGGCCCCGCCCCCCGAUCCCGGGGGGCGGGCCCGAAAGGCAGCGGCGGCACCGCGUCCGGUCCUCGAGCGUAUGGGGCUUUGUCACCCGCUCUGUAGGCCCGGCCGGCGCCUGCCGAUCAACCAAACUUUUUUCCAGGUUGACCUCGGAUCAGGUAGGGAUACCCGCUGAACUUAAGCAUAUCAAUAAGCGGAGGA
RNAcentral lists this unclassified non-coding RNA (344 nucleotides) under soil metagenome. RNAcentral describes it as "partial contains 5.8S ribosomal RNA, internal transcribed spacer 2, and large subunit ribosomal RNA". The stretch from base 1 to 119 matches the Rfam family "5.8S ribosomal RNA", at positions 35 to 154 of the family's 154-position model. The record is from RNAcentral.